UAAAAAGAAAAAAAAAAAGAAAAUUUCAUUUUUUCUUUUCUUCUUCUUCUUCUCUUCCCUUCACCGCCAAGCAUUUUGAAGAACAAUUCUCAUCCAACUUCCAUUCUUUACAUUCUUCAAUUUGCAGAGAACAUUUAAGAGAGAGUUUGAAAGAAGAAGAGGAAUUUUACUAGAAUUUUGAGGUUGAAGAAGAGGAGGAGAACUCAACAAAGUGUAUCCAUGGCUGAAUUUUGGUUCAUUUUGCACAUCACUGGUUUUUAAUUUGGUUUGAACACUUCAAAAGGAAUUAAGAGGGUAUACGAAUAAUCAUUGGAUAUUCACUCGAAACCAGGAGGUCUCUGGUUUUUCUUAUAUUUCAGAGUGUACCGUUUGAAUUAGGAUUUCUAUUUGGUAUGGUUGGAAAGCUUAUUCAAUUUACGACAACAUUCAUGAAGAAAUCAUGAACCCAAAACGACUAAAAAUCAGUUAAAUUGUAGGGACAAGUUCAAGAGGUCGUGUGCACGUGAUUCUGGAAGUGGUUCUGUUUCGAGGGUUAUCUGAGUUUAUUCACAGGGAUUCAGAUUUCCAUGUCUUCAGGUAGAGAUCGAGUUCCCGGUGCCUGAUAGACUACCUUAGUCUGCUGAAGCUCCGUUAUCGAUUGCCAGUACGUGUUUUGAGUUGGGCAUAGAGUCUAUAGUGUUAUGAUGUAUAUACACCCUUGUAUGUUAUAGAUACUCCACAAUUUGUAUAAGCUUUAGGAGCUGCAGUUGUGUAAAUUUUUUGUCGGUUAUAUUUUGAUUAAGGUGUCUUUAGCUUUA
Molecule: long non-coding RNA, 797 nt
Organism: Cucumis melo (muskmelon)
Lineage: Eukaryota; Viridiplantae; Streptophyta; Magnoliopsida; Cucurbitales; Cucurbitaceae
Exons: 3
Source: RefSeq, a predicted model, not a curated record